AUCUGAAGCCCUACCUUCAUCCCCACCUCCUACCCUCAGCUGACUCCAGUUCCAGAGAAACUCCCUGGGUUGGACUUGGAGACCUCCUGGGUCUGACUUCCAACCCUGAGUCUGCUUUUUCCUCUAAUCUAUUCUGGACCCCCUUUGGCAGUGCUGUUAUCCAAAAAGGAGAGUGGAAAAGGAGAGAGCCUGACUGAUGUCUGUCAUCUUCUCUCCUUCCCAUUCAGAUCAUACAGUACUUUAGGGUCCCUGGCAUGUAGAGGAGCCGAAAAACUUGAUAAUGGCUUAACCAUUCAGUUUUAUUGAGGACACAAUUUUCCCAAGGGCUAUAAGCUUUGUUAACUCUUCUGAUAUCUAGGUCUACCAUGUUCUUAUAUUUGUGACCUGUCAAUUCAUUCAUUUAUUCUAAUAGGCACCUGACAUACCUUGCUCCUGAUCUUCCCACUUCCCCUGUAUUUCUCCAGAGCAUUUAGUACAAAUAUGAUGGGUUAACUAUGGUGUAAUUAUUUGUCUACUUUUAUAUAUAAACUAAGAUUGCAAAAACCAACUCAGUCACCAUCAUACCCCAUGCCCAUUGAUUAACAAAUGUUAAUGAACAAACUGAAUGGGAUAUAUUUAUAUAUUUACCCUGUUUUUCAGAUGAAGAAAUAGAAACCCAAAUAAAUAUUUUCCCAAGACUGAUGAUGUAGCUCAGUGGCAGAGUGCUUACCUAGCAUGUGCAAGGUGCUGGAUUCAAUCCCCAGUACCACAAAAAAAUAAACUAAAAUUGCCCAAAUGACUUCCACUAUAAGUAUGAAGCCAAAAAAAUUCACUCUUGUAUUUUGGGGAAUUUUUAAUAGCCACAGAAAUGAAACACAUUGAUAAACUGUGUUCUGAUUGUGCUCCACUUAUUUGCUGGAGGUGGAAUCUGGAUUCAAAAACAGGCUUUUGUGCGCUGGUGAAAAGUACUAGUGAGAGGGUUGGGGAUCAAUCAUUGUUCUGUCCACAGGCAUGCCUUUGGUGAGGAUUUCUGGCUCCCACCCCAACUUGAACAUAGACUGGAUAAAGAAGGUCAUACUUAUGUCAUAUGGCAACCCCAGUCCAAAAGCAGCAAAUAAGACCACUCCCAGUCCUCACUUUUUUUUUUAAUCUGUUUUUAUCUUAAUGUGAACUAGUAUUUUUAAAAAAUCAAGAAGUUUCCCACAAAUCUAAAUUCUUGCUUCUCAAAACUAAGACUAUGGUGAUACCAGGCCCACAUCUCCACGAGAUAGUAAUCUGUCUGAGUAGCACUGCUGCCUUUAUGUGGCAUGUGCUCUUUAUGCUUCUCUGCUUCUUUCUAGGACUCUUCACUCAUUUGCAUAACUGGUACACAUUUAAAUGUAAGACCUCAAGGUUAAUUGAAAUCCCAAAAGUCCUUCCAAUUUUUCCAGGCCUCUAAACCACAUUGAUCUGAUCCUUAAGAGCAUAAAUCCUUUUACUUCACUAGCAAACUAGAACAGGUACUGCCUAUUAGCAAAGGGAAAAAAACACACAAAACUUAAAAACAGUUGAAGGAGACUAUG
This 1541-nucleotide long non-coding RNA is filed under the name Marmota monax (woodchuck). Lineage: Eukaryota; Metazoa; Chordata; Mammalia; Rodentia; Sciuridae. The record is from RNAcentral.